RNAcentral lists this ribosomal RNA (638 nucleotides) under Bacillus tequilensis. RNAcentral's name for it is "bacterial SSU rRNA". It matches the Rfam family "Bacterial small subunit ribosomal RNA", at positions 87 to 710 of the family's 1533-position model. The record is from RNAcentral. Lineage: Bacteria; Bacillati; Bacillota; Bacilli; Caryophanales; Bacillaceae.
UGAUGUUAGCGGCGGACGGGUGAGUAACACGUGGGUAACCUGCCUGUAAGACUGGGAUAACUCCGGGAAACCGGGGCUAAUACCGGAUGGUUGUUUGAACCGCAUGGUUCAAACAUAAAAGGUGGCUUCGGCUACCACUUACAGAUGGACCCGCGGCGCAUUAGCUAGUUGGUGAGGUAACGGCUCACCAAGGCAACGAUGCGUAGCCGACCUGAGAGGGUGAUCGGCCACACUGGGACUGAGACACGGCCCAGACUCCUACGGGAGGCAGCAGUAGGGAAUCUUCCGCAAUGGACGAAAGUCUGACGGAGCAACGCCGCGUGAGUGAUGAAGGUUUUCGGAUCGUAAAGCUCUGUUGUUAGGGAAGAACAAGUACCGUUCGAAUAGGGCGGUACCUUGACGGUACCUAACCAGAAAGCCACGGCUAACUACGUGCCAGCAGCCGCGGUAAUACGUAGGUGGCAAGCGUUGUCCGGAAUUAUUGGGCGUAAAGGGCUCGCAGGCGGUUUCUUAAGUCUGAUGUGAAAGCCCCCGGCUCAACCGGGGAGGGUCAUUGGAAACUGGGGAACUUGAGUGCAGAAGAGGAGAGUGGAAUUCCACGUGUAGCGGUGAAAUGCGUAGAGAUGUGGAGGAACACC